This 468-nucleotide ribosomal RNA is filed under the name uncultured bacterium. RNAcentral's name for it is "partial 16S ribosomal RNA". It matches the Rfam family "Bacterial small subunit ribosomal RNA", at positions 28 to 507 of the family's 1533-position model. The record is from RNAcentral.
GACGAACGCUGGCGGCGUGCUUAACACAUGCAAGUCGAACGGAAAGGCCCUGCUUUUGUGGGGUGCUCGAGUGCCGAACGGGUGAGUAACACGUGAGUAACCUGCCCUUGCCUUUGGGAUAACUUCAGGAAACUGGGGCUAUUACCGGAUAGGAGCUCCUGCUGCAUGGUGGGGGUUGGAAAGUUUCGGCGGUUGGGGAUGGACUCGCGGCUUAUCAGCUUGUUGGUGGGGUAGUGGCUUACCAAGGCUUUGACGGGUAGCCGGCCUGAGAAGGUGAACGGCCACAUUGGGACUGAGAUAAGGCCCAGACUCCUAAGGGAGGCAGAAGUGGGGAAUAUUGCACAAUGGGCGGAAGCCUGAUGCAGCAACGCCGCGUGCGGGAUAACGGCCUUCGGGUUGUAAACCGCUUUCGCCUGUGACGAAGCGUGAGUGACGGUAAUGGGUAAAGAAGCACCGGCUAACUACGUG